AUUGAACGCUGGCGGAAUGCUUUACACAUGCAAGUCGAACGGCAGCACGGACUUCGGUCUGGUGGCGAGUGGCGAACGGGUGAGUAACAUAUCGGAACGUAUCCAAUAAUGGGGGAUAACGAGUCGAAAGAUUCGCUAAUACCGCAUACGCCCUACGGGGGAAAGCUGGGGACCUUCGGGCCUGGCGUUAAUGGAGCGGCCGAUAUCCGAUUAGCUAGCUGGUGAGGUAAAGGCUCACCAAGGCGACGAUCAGUAGCUGGUCUGAGAGGACGACCAGCCACACUGGAACUGAGACACGGUCCAGACUCCUACGGGAGGCAGCAGUGGGGAAUUUUGGACAAUGGGCGCAAGCCUGACCCAGCCAUUCCGCGUGAGUGAAGAAGGCCUUCGGGUUGUAAAGCUCUUUCGCAAGGGAAGAAAACUUAGCCACUAACAUUGGUUGAGGUUGACGGUACCUUGAUAAGAAGCACCGGCUAACUACGUGCCAGCCGCCGCGGUAA
Molecule: ribosomal RNA, 500 nt
Filed under: uncultured bacterium
Lineage: Bacteria
Description: partial 16S ribosomal RNA
Rfam family: Bacterial small subunit ribosomal RNA
Source: RNAcentral